ACUGACGGCUGAUGCACGAAAGCCGUGGGGAUCGAUACAGGAUUAGAUACCCUGGUAGUCCACGCCGUAAACGAUGAUCACUAGCUGUUGGCGAUACACCGAUCAGCGGCAAAGCAAAAGCAUUAAGUGAUCCACCUGGGGAGUACGGCCGCAAGGCUGAAACUCAAAGGAAUUGACGGGGGCCCGCACAAGCGGAGGAACAUGUGGUUUAAUUCGAUGAUACGCGAGGAACCUUACCUGGGCUUAAAUGUAGAGUGCAUUGAGAGGAAACUUUCAUUUUCUUCGGAACUCUUUACAAGGUGCUGCAUGGUUGUCGUCAGCUCGUGCCGUGAGGUGUCGGGUUAAGUCCCAUAACGAGCGCAACCCUUAUCGUUAGUUGCCAGCGGGUAAUGCCGGGAACUCUAGCGAAACUGCCGGUGUAAACCGAGAGGAAGGUGGGGAUGACGUCAAAUCAGCACGGCCCUUAUGUCCAGGGCUACACACGUGUUACAAUGGCCGGUACAGAGGGCAGCUACCUGGAGACAGGAUGCGAAUCUCGAAAGCCGGUCUCAGUUCGGAUCGGAGUCUGCAACCCGACUCCGUGAAGCUGGAUUCGCUAGUAAUCGCGCAUCAGCCAUGGCGCGGUGAAUACGUUCCCGGGCCUUGUACACACCGCCCGU
This 659-nucleotide ribosomal RNA is filed under the name uncultured bacterium. Its description in RNAcentral is "bacterial SSU rRNA". It matches the Rfam family "Bacterial small subunit ribosomal RNA", at positions 739 to 1397 of the family's 1533-position model. The record is from RNAcentral.